Molecule: ribosomal RNA, 438 nt
Filed under: uncultured bacterium
Lineage: Bacteria
Description: partial 16S ribosomal RNA
Rfam family: Bacterial small subunit ribosomal RNA
Source: RNAcentral
AACGAACGCUGGCGGCAUGCCUAACACAUGCAAGUCGAACGAGACCUUCGGGUCUAGUGGCGCACGGGUGCGUAACGCGUGGGAACCUGCCCUUAGGUUCGGAAUAACUCCCCGAAAGGGGUGCUAAUACCGGAUAAUGUCUUCGGACCAAAGAUUUAUCGCCUUUGGAUGGGCCCGCGUUGGAUUAGCUAGUUGGUAGGGUAAAAGCCUACCAAGGCGACGAUCCAUAGCUGGUCUGAGAGGAUGAUCAGCCACACUGGGACUGAGACACGGCCCAGACUCGGAGGGGAGGCAGCAGUGGGGAAGGGGGAACAAGGGGAGGAAGCCUGAUGAAGCAAAGCAGCGUGCGGGAGGAAGGAAAUCGGGUUGGAAACAGAGGUCGCCUGUGACGAAGCGUGAGUGAAGGGAAUGGGUAAAGAAGCACCGGCUAACUACGUG